RNAcentral lists this unclassified non-coding RNA (377 nucleotides) under uncultured Actinomycetes bacterium. Its description in RNAcentral is "uncultured actinobacterium contains 16S-23S intergenic spacer region". Lineage: Bacteria; Bacillati; Actinomycetota; Actinomycetes. The record is from RNAcentral.
UCCGGUUUGUCACCGGCGGUCUCCUUAAAGUUCCCACCAUUACGUGCUGGCAACUAAGGACAAGGGUUGCGCUCGUUGCGGGACUUAACCCAACAUCUCACGGCACGAGCUGACGACAGCCAUGCAGCACCUGUGCUAGCCCCCGAAGGACACGGGCUUUCACCCGCUUUAACUAGCAUGUCAAGCCUAGGUAAGGUUCUUCGCGUUGCCUCGAAUUAAGCAACAUGCUCCGCUGCUUGUGCGGGCCCCCGUCAAUUCCUUUGAGUUUUAGCCUUGCGGCCGUACUCCCCAGGCGGGGCACUUAAUGCGUUAGCUACGGCACGGAACCCGUCGAUAGAGCCCCACACCUAGUGCCCAACGUUUACGGCGUGGACUAC